GAUGAACGCUGGCGGCGUGCCUAAUACAUGCAAGUCGAGCGAACGGACGAGAAGCUUGCUUUUCUGAUGUUAGCGGCGGACGGGUGAGUAACACGUGGAUAACCUACCUAUAAGACUGGGAUAACUUCGGGAAACCGGAGCUAAUACCGGAUAAUAUUUUGAACCGCAUGGUUCAAAAGUGAAAGACGGUCUUGCUGUCACUUAUAGAUGGAUCCGCGCUGCAUUAGCUAGUUGGUAAGGUAACGGCUUACCAAGGCAACGAUGCAUAGCCGACCCGAGAGGGGGAGCGGCCACACUGGAACUGAGACACGGUCCAGACUCCUACGGGAGGCAGCAGUAGGGAAUCUUCCGCAAUGGGCGAAAGCCUGACGGAGCAACGCCGCGUGAGUGAUGAAGGUCUUCGGAUCGUAAAACUCUGUUAUUAGGGAAGAACAUAUGUGUAAGUAACUGUGCACAUCUUGACGGUACCUAAUCAGAAAGCCACGGCUAACUACGUG
RNAcentral lists this ribosomal RNA (497 nucleotides) under uncultured bacterium. RNAcentral's name for it is "partial 16S ribosomal RNA". It matches the Rfam family "Bacterial small subunit ribosomal RNA", at positions 28 to 507 of the family's 1533-position model. The record is from RNAcentral.